This is a non-coding RNA of Pelobates cultripes (western spadefoot toad), 491 nucleotides long. NCBI's taxonomy places the organism in Eukaryota, Metazoa, Chordata, Amphibia, Anura, Pelobatidae. The record is from the annotation of a GenBank genome assembly.
CGAACGGUGACCACCCCAUCUACGAUCAAUUAGGCUGUGGUUAACUACAAAACCUCAGCUCCUGGGUGGUUAAUUGGGGACACACUCCUCAGAUUCUCUUGAUUUCGGGUAAGGAAUGCUCCCCCAGUCGGUAGUUCCCAUCUCCCAAACGUUGUUCGCAAGUUGGUCGGGAAAUAGCACGGGCAGCAGUAUAACCUGUACUGGGGUUCGUGCGAGUCCCUAGCUGAAAAGAAUUCCAGGCACUCGAUGACCAAGUGCUGCUGCCCAUGUUCGGGAGACAAAAUGUCCGCCACUCUUUUGCCGACUACGUGCAUUCGGUUAUAUGAAAUGGCUGCCACCCAGGGGAAGCAUUCAUUAAUUACUUCCUUUGCGGUUUCACACUUAAUUUACCAUGUGAGAAUGUUUUAAUGGGGUACUAGGGUGGUCCUCUUUCGGGAGUCGAAUGUAGAGUGUUCGGAUACCAUAACUCCCGAAUGGAUAAAAGAUAAAAC